AGCAGCCGCGGUAAUUCCAGCUCCAAUAGCGUAUAUUAAAGUUGUUGUAGUUAAAAAGCUCGUAGUUGAAUUUCGGGAUUAGUACGCUGGUCAUGCCUUUGGUAUGUACUGGUGUUACUGAUUUCUACCUUCUGAAGAACCGUUAUGUCAUUCAUUUGGUGUGGCGGGGAAUCAGGACUGUUACUUUGAAAAAAUUAGAGUGUUUAAAGCAGGCUCGCGCUUGAAUACAUUAGCAUGGAAUAAUGAAAUAGGACGUUGAUCCUAUUUUGUUGGUUUCUAGGAUUGACGUAAUGAUUAAUAGGGAUAGUUGGGGGCAUUAGUAUUCAAUUGUCAGAGGUGAAAUUCUUGGAUUUAUUGAAGACUAACUACUGCGAAAGCAUUUGCCAAGGAUGUUUUCAUUAAUCAAGAACGAAAGUUAGGGGAUCGAAGACGAUCAGAUACCGUCGUAGCCUUAACCAUAAACUAUGCCGACUAGGGAUCGGAUGAUGUUAAUUUUAAUGACUCAUUCGGCGUCUUACGG
Molecule: ribosomal RNA, 520 nt
Filed under: uncultured Glomeromycotina
Lineage: Eukaryota; Fungi; Glomeromycota
Description: SSU rRNA
Rfam family: Eukaryotic small subunit ribosomal RNA
Source: RNAcentral